UACGGAGCGGCAGACGGGUGAGUAACGCGUGGGAACGUGCCUUUUGGUUCGGAACAACACAGGGAAACUUGUGCUAAUACCGGAUAAGCCCUUACGGGGAAAGAUUUAUCGCCAAAAGAUCGGCCCGCGUCUGAUUAGCUAGUUGGUGAGGUAACGGCUCACCAAGGCGACGAUCAGUAGCUGGUCUGAGAGGAUGAUCAGCCACACUGGGACUGAGACACGGCCCAG
This 228-nucleotide ribosomal RNA is filed under the name uncultured bacterium. Its description in RNAcentral is "partial 16S ribosomal RNA". It matches the Rfam family "Bacterial small subunit ribosomal RNA", at positions 89 to 334 of the family's 1533-position model. The record is from RNAcentral.